RNAcentral lists this ribosomal RNA (452 nucleotides) under uncultured bacterium. RNAcentral's name for it is "bacterial SSU rRNA". It matches the Rfam family "Bacterial small subunit ribosomal RNA", at positions 340 to 784 of the family's 1533-position model. The record is from RNAcentral.
UACGGGAGGCAGCAGUGGGGAAUAUUGCACAAUGGGCGCAAGCCUGAUGCAGCCAUGCCGCGUGUAUGAAGAAGGCCUUCGGGUUGUAAAGUACUUUCAGUCGUGAGGAAGGUGUUAAGGUUAAUAACCUUAGCAGUUGACGUUAGCGACAGAAGAAGCACCGGCUAACUCCGUGCCAGCAGCCGCGGUAAUACGGAGGGUGCGAGCGUUAAUCGGAAUUACUGGGCGUAAAGGGCACGCAGGCGGUUAAUUAAGUUGGAUGUGAAAUCCCCGGGCUUAACCUGGGAAUGGCAUUCAAGACUGGUUAGCUAGAGUCUUGUAGAGGGGGUAGAAUUCCAUGUGUAGCGGUGAAAUGCGUAGAGAUGUGGAGGAAUACCGGUGGCGAAGGCGGCCCCUGGGACAAAGACUGACGCUCAUGUGCGAAAGCGUGGGGAGCGAAACAGGAUUAGAUA